RNAcentral lists this ribosomal RNA (646 nucleotides) under uncultured fungus. Its description in RNAcentral is "eukaryotic LSU rRNA". The stretch from base 201 to 355 matches the Rfam family "5.8S ribosomal RNA". The record is from RNAcentral. Lineage: Eukaryota; Fungi.
AAGNAUCAUUAAAAGUAUAUAGUUAUACAUUCUGUGUAUCGACUAAAUAUACCCAUUCUGAGUACCUUGCCUGUUGCUUCCAUGGAGCCNGACACAUGUCACUCUGGGGAUUUACAUCCCGAGGGAGCCUCCGUGGAAGGUAAUCUAUUAACUCUUGAAUCCAAUGUCAUCUGUCUGAUAAUGUUUAUAACAAAUGUUAAAACUUUCAACAACGGAUCUCUUGGUUCUCGCAUCGAUGAAGAACGCAGCGAAAUGCGAUAAGUAGUGUGAAUUGCAGAAUUCAGUGAAUCAUCGAAUCUUUGAACGCACAUUGCGCCUCCUGGGUAUUCCGGGAGGCAUGCCUGUUCGAGCGUCAUUAAAUACCCACUCAAGCUCUUCUGCUUGGUCAUGGAAGAAGAGAAUGCUUGCAUCCUCUCUUCUGAAAUCGAACGGCGGACUGCCUCAUGUGCCUCGCGUAGUAAGUUCAUCUUUUCGCUUGGAGUGUGAGAUAGUCUCGCCAUCAACCCCCAUACUUCUAAGGUUGACCUCGGAUCAGGUAGGGAUACCCGCUGAACUUAAGCAUAUCAAUAAGCGGAGGAAAAGAAACCAACAGGGAUUGCCUCAGUAACUGCGAGUGAAGCGGCAAAAGCUCAAAUUUGAAAUCUGG